AUUCUUUAUCUGCCGGUUGAGAAACCGUAAAAAUAAUAGUGAAUAAUUGCCAAUUAAAAUGCAAUUAUCAACGAUGCAUUUAAACUUACGCCAUAUACAGCAAUAUAUUAGCAAGACUUGCUGAACUUCAGACAUCAUUUUCUCUUUGGCGUACCAUCUAAAAUCUCUUCAUUUUAGUAUUAUUUUACAGAUAAAACACUAAACAUACCUUUUUAAGUUUAAUUGUUUUUGUUUGUGGAAACACCACGUAAAUUUAUUACUGCAAAGCUUUCGAUCCGUAAGCCCGGAUCUUCAUCAGUGCUAAUAUGUAUAAUAACUAGAAGUUACUAUCGCAAGGAAAGUGCUGCCUCGUGCCAAAGGGAUCAAAGGCAGCAUGCACAAUUUUCUGAAUAAGGGUCUGUUUUUAUGAUCCCGCUUUGUCAGGACGAGAUAUGAGGCGGGAAAGGCACGAUGAUUCAAUAAUAAUAGUACUGAUGAAGAUCCGGGCUUACGGAUCGAAAGCUUUGCAGUAAUAAAUUUACGUGGUGUUUCCACAAACAAAAACAAUUAUAUUUUAUCGCCAUGCAAACAUUCAGAGAACUUUUUAAGUUUGUUUGCCGCUUGAGAAACGAAUCAAAUAUUUAAAAAAUCGAAUACGCACACGUAACAAUCUCACAUCUUGUAGCAAGUCUGCCAACAAGCCGUCAACAAGUAGUCUUCGCACUGCAGCUUGUCACAAAUUGUCAACAAGUUUGGAACAAGCUGUUAACAACUUGUACCAACCUUGUUGAUAUUAUCAAAUUUGUUGCAACGUUGUUCAAACAAGUCCGAUACUGUCAUGAUGUAACAAUAUUGUUACAACCUUGCGUCGUCAACCUUGUAACAUUCUUGUUAAUAUAUCAUGACUGUAUCAGACUUGUUAAUAGAACAACCUUGUAACAAGUCUGAUAAUGCCAUCAAGCUUGUUACAAGUUGUUAACAGCUUGUUACAACAACUGGGAACAAGCAGUGCGAAGACAACUUGUCGACAGCUUGUGAACAGGUUUGUAACAACUUGUUUGCAGACUUGUAACAACUUGUGCGUUUUUCCGUGUGUAGUCAUAGCCAAGUAGAAAAGUACAUUCAUGAGUUUUGAGCGCGUGUUACGUAACAUACAAAAAAUUCUCCUCUAAAUAUGAGGGAAUAACGGUUUGUCCCUGAACUACCUGAAAAAAUUUAACUGAAGAUAUGUCGAGAGCUUUUCCGCAAAAUAAAAUUUCUCCCACGCUGGGCAAAUCAAGCGAUACUUUAUUUUUAUCUGACAACUUAAUUGCCAAUUAUCUUUUUGAAAAUAACUGCACCCAAGCGAUUCAAUUUUUCGUGGAAACCAGUCAAUUGAAACAGGGCGCGAGGAAAAAUGGCAAGACAGAGUAAAUAUAAGUGAUGAAACUAAUUUAGAGGUUUCGUGACAGACUCACAGACUAGACCAGAUAGCCAAGUGUUUUGUUCUUUUUUUCAAGUGUAUACGUGGGUUUUCAAAUUCGAUGACGAAGUUGACUUGAUGUUAUAGGGAGGGCUCAUUAUUUAUUAGGGGGGUGCGGCACCGAAAGGAAAUGUUUUUCAUGGUAAAAAAUUUGUUGAUUCAACAUUAAAAAAAAAUUUUUUUACCUAACUUCAAAUAUCGACUACGAUUCAAUGAUUCAAUCUGAAUUCAGGAAACUCAAUCUUAGGAUUCCAUGAUUCAGCUGAGGAUUCAAUGAUUCAAUCUUAGGAUUAAAUGAUUCAAUCUUAGGAUUCAAUGAUUCAAUCUUAGGAUUCGAUGAUUCAAUCUUAGGAUUCAAUGAUUCAAUCUUAGGAUUCAAUGAUUCAAUCUUAGGAUUUAAUGAUUCAGUCUUAGGAUUCAAUGAUAAAAAAUUUUCACCCAGCUUCAAAUAUUGCCUUAAAAAUAAAUAUCCUCCCUUGACCAAAAACAAAAAAGAUACCAUUCAGUUGUCACGUCACACAUGUCCUCAACUGUGACACGAGUUUGAUAAACUCUCACUGUUACAAAUUACAAUAACAACAGCAGAUUCAACAGUCAACAACUAUAUGUCAUUCAUCAAAACACAAAAACGCACAUACGAGGAAUUUUGGAUUACAACAAAAAAUUUCGAAAACGCCAUGAUUGCAUGUCGUCCAACCGAGGCUGGAUAUUAGGGACCGCGGUCAUUAUUUAUGGCGGGGGGUGGCACCAAAGAGAAAAGGGUUGGGUGAACACAAUUUUGAGUGAGUAAAAGGUUGGGUAAAUGAAAAACAAAACAACUCAAGGGUUGGGUAAUAAAAAUUUAUUGUCAUUUCCAAAGCAUGACUCACUCAAUAUUGAAGACUAUAAAGCAAUGCCAACAGUCAUAUAUGUCAAUACAAUAGUAAAUCAAUCAGAGUCACUAUCUUGAUCAUUUUCCGAUUUGUCAGGAGGCAAAUGGUGUCUCCAAAGAAAGUACAUGAACAGAUAACAUGAAACUUUAGACUGCAGAAAAUUGCACAAGCAUUUAUCAUUAACUCAUGUCACAGAAGUGGUAAAGGACAUGUGUGACAACAGAAUGAUAUCCUUUUGACAACUUUUUGGCCAGUGGUGGAUAUUUAUUUUUUAAUUGAUAUUUGAGGUUGGGUAAGAAAUUUUUGUGGACUUUUUAAUGGUUGGGACAGCAAAAUGUUUGCCAAGAAAACCAUUUCUCUUCGGUGCCAACCCACGCCAUAAACACAGAAAUAAACUCAGGCGAGGUUUCCAGCGAAACAUGAUCAUAUGAAAGACCUUCAACACCAGAAUAUCUAAAACAAUGUUUAAAGGACAUUGGCAAUAAAAUAUUAGUUUGUCUCAUUCAGAAGAACUCUUAAAAUUAUAUAUUAAACUCUGUUACCGAUUUGUCAUAUCUUGCUUAGUUCUCGAAAUAUUUAGACCGAAAUUAAUGAGCUGUACGCCAUCUUGGACUAAUUCUUGACCUCAUUUUAAUUAUGGUUUUGAUGACGUCAGAAGUUGGGUUAACCAUAUAAAACUACUCUAAAAUGACCGAGAAAUAAUCCAAAUUGUUUGAAAUGAUUUUAAACAUUUCUAAAUUUCAGACAGCCGCAGAAACGAAGGUUUGGACCCAUAUUGAUCGCUUAUUCUCCAGAUAAAAAAUUAGCGUGACCCCUCUCCUGACGUAACAUGUAUAUCCUCGAUAAUCCAAGAUGGCGAACAGCUCACUUUUUCAGUCGAAAUAUUUUGAAAACUAAGCAAAAUAUAAACAGUCUGUAAUAGAGUUUAAUAUAUAGUUUUAAGAGUUCUUUCAAAUGAACUAAACUAAUUUUUUCUUGCCAAUGUCCUUUUUGAACGAAAAUGUAAAAAUUCCAAAAGUUUUUCAUCUUGCUGCAAAUGGAUUGAGUGGAUUCUCGGAGGGUACGUUUCGUGGCGGUGGGGGGAUUAAACUUGGUGGACGAGGGGGACCACUGGGCGGGCCUUGCUGGCCUGGAGGUGGGCCCGAAGGCGGGUUGAAACCAGGUGGUGGUGGAGGUCGUGGUUGAGACGGACCAGGGGGGUUGUUCGAGACGCCAGGAGGUGGGGGCGGUCCGCUAGAGGAGGGGUUAGUGCGACGGGGGUUGCGAGAUUGUUGUUUCAUCUGCUGCAUGAGUUGUUGUUGGUGGGCUGAGAUCUUGAAAUGCAUUUGGAAGAAAAACU
Molecule: non-coding RNA, 3652 nt
Organism: Paramuricea clavata
Lineage: Eukaryota; Metazoa; Cnidaria; Anthozoa; Malacalcyonacea; Plexauridae
Source: the annotation of a GenBank genome assembly